This 447-nucleotide ribosomal RNA is filed under the name uncultured bacterium. RNAcentral describes it as "bacterial SSU rRNA". It matches the Rfam family "Bacterial small subunit ribosomal RNA", at positions 355 to 825 of the family's 1533-position model. The record is from RNAcentral.
UCGGGAAUUUUGGGCAAUGGGCGAAAGCCUGACCCAGCAACGCCGCGUGAAGGAUGAAGUAUUUCGGUAUGUAAACUUCGAAAGAAUAGGAAGAAUAAAUGACGGUACUAUUUAUAAGGUCCGGCUAACUAUGUGCCAGCAGCCGCGGUAAUACGUAGGGACCAAGCGUUGUUCGGAUUUACUGGGCGUAAAGGGCGCGUAGGCGGCAAUUCAAGUCAUCUGUGAAAUCUCCGGGCUUAACUCGGAACGGUCAGAUGAUACUGCUUUGCUAGAGUGCAGAAGGGGCAAUCGGAAUUCUUGGUGUAGCGGUGAAAUGCGUAGAUAUCAAGAGGAACACCUGAGGUGAAGACGGGUUGCUGGGCUGACACUGACGCUGAGGCGCGAAAGCCAGGGGAGCAAACGGGAUUAGAUACCCCUGUAGUCCCUGAGCGGGCUGGCAAGGCGCAU